This 87-nucleotide transfer RNA is filed under the name Marinobacterium nitratireducens. Its description in RNAcentral is "tRNA-Leu". It matches the Rfam family "tRNA". From Rfam's summary of the family: Transfer RNA (tRNA) molecules are approximately 80 nucleotides in length. The record is from RNAcentral. Lineage: Bacteria; Pseudomonadati; Pseudomonadota; Gammaproteobacteria; Oceanospirillales; Oceanospirillaceae. RNAcentral also lists the same sequence under 1 other name.
GCCAGUGUGGUGAAAUUGGUAGACACAGGGGAUUCAAAAUCCCCCGGGGUAAAACCCGUGCCGGUUCGAGUCCGGCCACUGGUACCA